RNAcentral lists this ribosomal RNA (500 nucleotides) under uncultured bacterium. RNAcentral describes it as "partial 16S ribosomal RNA". It matches the Rfam family "Bacterial small subunit ribosomal RNA", at positions 28 to 507 of the family's 1533-position model. The record is from RNAcentral.
GACGAACGCUGGCGGCGUGCUUAACACAUGCAAGUCGAACGGGUCUGCCCUGUUUUUUGCGGGGUGGGUCAGUGGCGAACGGGUGAGUAACACGUGAGUAACCUGCCCCUCACUUCUGGAUAACCGCUUGAAAGGGUGGCUAAUACGGGGUGUUCUGGCUGUGCCGCAUGGUGUGGCUGGGAAAGAUUCACUUUUGUGGUGUUUUGGUGGGGGAUGGGCUCGCGGCCUAUCAGCUUGUUGGUGGGGUGAUGGCCUGCCAAGGCUUUGACGGGUAGCCGGCCUGAGAGGGUGGGCGGUCACACUGGGACUGAGGUACGGCCCAGACUCCUGCGGGAGGCAGCAGUGGGGGGUAGUGCACAAUGGGCGGAAGCCUGAUGCAGCGACGUCGCGUGAGGGAUGGAGGCCUUCGGGUUGUGAACCUCUUUCGCCGGUGAAGAAGGUCCUGCUCUUUGUGGUGGGGUUGACGGUAGCCGGGUUAUGAAGCGCCGGCUAACUACGUG